RNAcentral lists this ribosomal RNA (246 nucleotides) under uncultured bacterium. RNAcentral describes it as "partial 16S ribosomal RNA". It matches the Rfam family "Bacterial small subunit ribosomal RNA", at positions 96 to 334 of the family's 1533-position model. The record is from RNAcentral.
UGGCGCACGGGUGAGUAACACGUGGGUAACCUGCCCUUGAGUUCGGGAUACCCCCUCGAAAGGGGGGCUAAUACCGGAUACGUUCCUCGGAUCGACAGGUCUGGGGAGGAAAGGUGGCGCAAGCUGCCGCUCUUGGAGGGGCUCGCGGCCUAUCAGCUAGUUGGCGGGGUAACGGCCCACCAAGGCUAUGACGGGUAGCUGGUCUGAGAGGACGACCAGUCACACGGGGACUGAGACACGGCCCCG